RNAcentral lists this ribosomal RNA (547 nucleotides) under uncultured Paracoccaceae bacterium. RNAcentral describes it as "bacterial SSU rRNA". It matches the Rfam family "Bacterial small subunit ribosomal RNA", at positions 9 to 605 of the family's 1533-position model. The record is from RNAcentral. Lineage: Bacteria; Pseudomonadati; Pseudomonadota; Alphaproteobacteria; Rhodobacterales; Paracoccaceae.
GAGUUUGAUCCUGGCUCAGAACGAACGCUGGCGGCAGGCCUAACACAUGCAAGUCGAGCGCACCUUCGGGUAAGCGGCGGACGGGUGAGUAACGCGUGGGAAUAUGCCCUUUAGUGCGGAAUAGCCUUUGGAAACGGAGAGUAAUACCGCAUACGCCCUUCGGGGGAAAGAUUUAUCGCUAAAGGAUUAGCCCGCGUUGGAUUAGGUAGUUGGUGGGGUAAAAGCCUACCAAGCCGACGAUCCAUAGCUGGUUUGAGAGGAUGAUCAGCCACACUGGGACUGAGACACGGCCCAGACUCCUACGGGAGGCAGCAGUGGGGAAUCUUAGACAAUGGGGGAAACCCUGAUCUAGCCAUGCCGCGUGAGUGAAGAAGGCCCUAGGGUCGUAAAGCUCUUUCGCCAGGGAAGAUAAUGACGGUACCUGGUAAAGAAGUCCCGGCUGACUCCGUGCCAGCAGCCGCGGUAAUACGGAGGGGACUAGCGUUGUUCGGAAUUACUGGGCGUAAAGCGCGCGUAGCGGACUAUUAAGUCAUGGGUGAAAUCCCGG